Molecule: ribosomal RNA, 492 nt
Filed under: uncultured bacterium
Lineage: Bacteria
Description: partial 16S ribosomal RNA
Rfam family: Bacterial small subunit ribosomal RNA
Source: RNAcentral
AGUGAACGCUGGCGGUAGGCCUAACACAUGCAAGUCGAACGGCAGCACAGUAAGAGCUUGCUCUUACGGGUGGCGAGUGGCGGACGGGUGAGGAAUACAUCGGAAUCUACUUUUUCGUGGGGGAUAACGUAGGGAAACUUACGCUAAUACCGCAUACGACCUACGGGUGAAAGCAGGGGAUCUUCGGGCCUUUCGCGAUUGAAUGAGCCGAUGUCGGAUUAGCUAGUUGGCGGGGUAAAGGCCCACCAAGGCGGCGAUCCGUAGCUGGUCUGAGAGGAUGAUCAGCCACACUGGAACUGAGACACGGUCCAGACUCCUACGGGAGGCAGCAGUGGGGAAUAUUGGACAAUGGGCGCAAGCCUGAUCCAGCCAUACCGCGUGGGUGAAGAAGGCCUUCGGGUUGUAAAGCCCUUUUGUUGGGAAAGAAAAGCAGCAGGUUAAUACCCCGCUGUUCUGACGGUACCCAAAGAAUAAGCACCGGCUAACUUCGUG